This 14418-nucleotide long non-coding RNA is filed under the name Sarcophilus harrisii (Tasmanian devil). RNAcentral describes it as "lncRNA (ENSSHAG00000026557.1)". The stretch from base 253 to 346 matches the Rfam family "Pvt1 oncogene conserved region 3". The record is from RNAcentral. Lineage: Eukaryota; Metazoa; Chordata; Mammalia; Dasyuromorphia; Dasyuridae.
GUGACGUCAGAGGGCCGCUCGCCAGCAGAACGUUCCAUUGAGGCGAGCGAGCGCGUGCGGCGGCCCGAGCACAUGGGGAAAACGGGCUGGGACGGGCUGCCUGGCAGACCGGGGCCGGGGGGCCGGGCCCCCGGGACUCGCGGACCCCGCUGCGGAAGGGAUUCUAGCCGCUGUGUGACCUGUGGAUCCGGGGUCGGACUCGCCCUCCAGUUUUCGGCCUAGUCUUUCAACUAAAGAGAAAUAAAAAGAUGAGCCUCCUGGCAACUUCCUCUGUCUGUUUCAUGGGACUACAUUCAAGGAUAUCCAAGACUGGAGGAUUUACAGAGCUCCAGAGCCGCCUGGGGGGAUGCUGAUGGAGUCCUGGGAUGCCAUGCUGCUGUCAUUUGCAUUGUUUUUUCCCAAGAUGGGUUGGUGAAGAACCCAUAUUGAGUUUCUUGUGGGGGAUCUGCAGUUGGAUUCUUUUGAAGGUUGAUUGAGAAGAGGAGGGCUUUUUCCAUUGAAGCAAGGAGAUUUUGCUUCAUCUCUUUCUUUUUUAUACAAUGCUGAUCUUUAAAAGGUCUUUGAAUGCAAGAUAUUAAUAAUAUAUUUGGAACAAGAGCCAGAAAAUAUGGAUUAGAAACCCUCCUUUACCAGUCAACAUGUAUAUGACUGUGGUCAAAUUAAUCACCCUUUUGGAGGCUUGAAUUCCUCAAUACAACACCUGGCACAUUGAUUAUGGAUAGAGGAGAGCCUAGAGAUCAUCCAGUCUAACCCCUGUGAAUUUUUAGACACGGAUACUUCACAUCAUAGAGUGGAGUUGACUUGUCCAAAAUCCCAUAAGAAAAGUAAACCUUCAGUCCUACUUCUGGACCACCACUGCCAUACUGCUUCCUUUUGGAUAUCCUUCUCAUCACUGAAACCUUGUACCCUGCUGCAGGACACCUGGCUCUGAUAGGUGAGCUUCUGUCUUAUCACAUCCAGAAAUAGGCCUUCCUUCUCUUUCCUGGCCAUCCACAUGCUGUGGCCCUUUGUUUUCCCUACCCUCUUUGACCCAAUCAUUUAACUUCCUUGUUUACUGUAUCUGAAGAAUGGGGGUAAAAGUAUGACUUUAAAGGCAAAGACUCUCCUACUUUACCUGUAUUUUUAUGCCUAGUUCUGAGUAUAGUACCUGGUACUUAGUAAGCAUUUAAUAAAUGCUCUAUAUAUCUAUCUAUUCAUAUAUCUAUCUGUCGUUUUAGCAGAAACUCUCUAGUGGAGUGCCCAAGGAAUCUAUAUUUGGUCCUGUGCCAUUUAUAUUUUUAUUAAUGAUUUGAAUAAAGGUAUAGGUGCUAUGUUAUCAAAUUUGCAAAUGACAUGGUGCUAGAGGGAGUAUACUAGAGGUUCUGGAUGACAGAAUGAAAUUUCAAAAAGAGCUAAUAGGCUAGAGUGGCCAAAUAUAAUAGAGAUAAAUGAAAAUUCACAUAUUUGGGUCCAAAACCUGAACUUCAGAAGUAAAUAAGGCUCAAAGUAUAAACAUAAGGUGAUUCAGCAGUAUUCUAGAGUCAUUACAAGAGAGGAAUUUCUUGUUUGUUCUUUUUGAAACUUCUAUUCCAUCAUCCCUCUUUAUGGUGACCUGAUCAGAUCACAGUUUGACUGUUGUAUUUCAUUCUGGCCAUCACACCAGAACUAGAGUGUCUGGAUUAAGGCAGCCAAGGAAGGUGAAAGAACUUCUGGUACCAUCAUGUGGAGUUUAUUGAGAGGAACCAGGGAUUUUUAAUCUAGAGAAGGAAAUAGUUAUUGAGAUAAAUAAGAUGAGGAAUAUUUUAGCUCUGUUAAGGCCUCUGAAGGAUUGUCAUGUGGAAGAGGGAUUAGAUGAGACCUGCUUUGUCCCCAGACAGCAAAACUAGAAGCCCUAGAUUAGCACUUUGAAAAAGGCAACUUUCCUAGCCAUCAAUGUUAUCCCCAAAUGGAAUGUGCUGACUCACCAGGAAUCUCCCAUCAAUAGCUAGGUGAUCUUGCCCUGUGAGUCUGUUGUGGUGGAGAUUGUUGUUUCAGGUAUGGUUUGAACUAGGUGAGAAAAAAAAGAAUAUUCUUUUACCUCCAGCCAUACACUUUAAUUGGGUUUCUAUUUUCCAACUUCAGUUUAAUGUUUAAAUAAAAUCAAAAAGGUUGGACUUGGGAGGAGAAGGGAAUAUUUCUGUUUUCUGGCUGAAAAUGAAGUAUGAUAAAAAUGUAGCGGUGCCUUAGAGCUAAUUCCUGGGUAAAGGGCUUUGCACAUAGUAGGUUCUUUUGUUUGAAUGGAGCUCACAGGAGUUAACUUUUUUGCUUGAUGGACCCCUUUGUCAGUCUGAUGAAAUCUCAGAAUCAUGUUUGUAAAUGAAUAAAACACAUAGAUUGUAAAGGAAACCAAUGUUAUUGAAACAUGGUUAUGAAAAUGUUUUCUUUUAAAAAAAAUUCACUGACCUUCAGAUAAAAAGAAAGAACCUUGGCCCUCACUGCUUUGAGCUUAAAGAUGUAAGCUUAGAAAAUACAGAGUCCCAUGAUAGGCUGCUUCUGAAAGGUAUCCUGAAAUAAUUGGGGGGGGGGGGGUUGCACAAAUACCUUACAGACAUUUUAGUAGAGGUUAGUGCUAUCUCACAAAUGCAACAAAUGACUUUUUAAGAAAAGAUAAACCUUCCCUCUCUUCUCCCCCUCCCCCCUUUAAAGAUUGCACUCCUGCCUUUGAGAGAAUCUCUGUCUCAGGAAUUUGGAGGUCAUCUGGUCCAUAUGUUCCCCUCUCCUCCCACCUGAAGCAUGGAAGUCUGACAUCCCCAUUCAGCCUCUGCUGGAAUCCUAUCUCUGGAAGCUGCCCAUUCCAUUCCCUAACUGGAAUAACAAAUUACUAAGGAACAAGUUUUUCCUUAAUGAGCUGAAAUCUUUCCUGAGAACCAUUCUUUCUCUUUUUAUUGGAUUGCCUAGAACUCAUGCACUGGUGCCAUUUGUGUUAGGCAAAAGUUGGGAACAGGCUACUCAAGAUUUGUAGAAUAGCUGAAUUAACUGUAUCCUGUAAACAUAACGGAUUAUUAUUGUGCUAUAAGGAAUAAUGGACACUAGGAAUUCAAAGAGAAAAUUAGAAGGCUUGCAUGAUGGGAUGUAUAGUGAAGAAAGAAGAGAUAAAAAAAAAUAGAAAUGCAUGGUGAAUUACAACUGAGCAAAUGCAAACAUUAUAGGGCCUCAAAGAGUAAAACAUAGUCUCCUUUUCUUGAAGAAAGGGCAAAAUUUUAAGAUGUCAAUGGGAAACACUCAUAUGUAGUUUUGUAUUAACUGUUUUCAGGGAGUACAUUCUAUAGUUUGUUUACAUUGUUGGUUAUGUUUGAAACAUAAUUUAUCCUUUAAAAAAAUUAUCAUUUUAUGUGAUGUUCAACUGUGAUGGACUUCUCUGUUUUCAACAAUAAAGUGAUUCAGGUCAAUUCUAGUAGACUUAUAAUGGGGAGAGCCAACUGCAUCCAGAGAGAGGACUAUAGUGACUGAAUGUGGAUCACUGCCUAGUAUUAUCACCUUUUUUUGUUACUGUUGUUUGCUUGCUUGUUUUUUCUUCAUUUUUUUCCCUCUUUUGAUCUGAUUUUUCUUCUGCAGAAUAGUAAAUAUGAAAGUAUGUUUGGAAAAAUUGCCCAUAUCUGGCCUUUAUUGGAUUGCUGCUUUCUCUAGGGGAGAGGAGAGGGAGAACGAGAAAUCUGGAACAAAAAGGUUUUCGGUGGUGAAUAUUGAAAAUUAUCUUUGCAUAUAUUUUGAAAAAUCAAAAGCUCUUAUAAAUAAAAACAUAAUUAAAAGAUUUAAAAUUAUCAUUAAAAAAUCUUAAGAUAUUUCCAUCUAAUUUGCAUUUUUGUCUGACACAGUAAGCAUUCAUUUAAUGCUUACAGCAUACCAGAUAUUAGAGAGAAGGAUACAUAUUCUCAUAAUCUAAUGGGGCAUAUAACAUGCCAGCAGCAAGGUGUGUGUGUGUAAUAUAUGCAAGAUAAAUCAGAAGUAAGCAACUGAGAGAAGGCAUCAGAAUUAGGAUACACUGUAGAUACUCUUAAGUAGACUUCUUAAAUUACAGUGUGGCUUAUCAGAAAGCACACUGCCCUGGUGUUCCCUUCUGACUCUGACGCUCAUUGUCUAAGUUACGAGUUUUUUGUCCGUAAGAUUAUUAAAUUGGAUUGCCUGAUCUCUAAGCUUCCUUCCAGCCCUGAAAAGUCUGUUAUUUAUAAUCUUGGUAAACAUCGAUUUAGGGAUUGGAGGCAGGGGGGAGGAUUCUUUGAAAAAGUGUUGUGAAGGACUGACUUGAAUUAAAUUGCCUGGAGGGCUGUGGGCUGUCUCAUUAAUACCUAGAGUGAAAACAAAAGGACCGUCCUUCCCUAGUUCCUAAACCGACUUCACUGAAUAAUUGCCAGCCUCUGCCAGAUAAACCAGUGUGAAGAAGCCAUGUGUCAGUCUAGGGGGCCCAUGUUUGUUUCCAGCCGCUUGCCCCAGCUGUGAGGGAACAACUGGAAUUGUUUGCAUAGCUCUCUCUCACCUUAGAAAAGGUGUUUCCCACCCUCCUGCCCUACCUCUUUGGGGCAGAUUUCAUGUUUUGGGAAAGGUUUUACUUUCUGGGUUCAGGGGUCUAGGUAGACGAGACUCAGUAAUUGCAUGCUAGGGUUUAUGCCAGUUUAUUCACUCAGCUUUCAUUUGACCAGUACAGAUAUUAAUACUUUCAUUCACCAUUUCACAGGCUCAUGAGAAAAAAGUUCACUAUAAAUCUAUAAUCUAUGAAGUGCUAUACAAAAUAUUUAUACAGUUUUCAUGCUGCACAAGAAAAAUCAGAUCAAUGAUACUUCUUGUUCAGUAAGAUAACUGUAUAUAUAUAUGUAUACAUAUAUUGGAUUUAACAUAUAUUUUAACAUAUUUAACAUGUAUUGGACUACCUGCCAUCUGGGGAGGGGGUGAGGGGAGAAGGAGGGGAAAAAUUUGGAACAAAAAGUUUUACAAGGUCAGUGUUGAAAAAUUACCCAUGCAUAUGUUUUCUAAAUAAAAAGCUUUAAUUAAAAAAAAAAAAAUCAGCUCAAAAAGGAAAAAAAAAAAACUGAGAAAGAAAACAAAAUCUAAGCUCUUUCUGAGAUAUUUCACAUUAUAUCUUUCUAGCUUCUCCCAAGAGUUUGUCUUUGAUAAGAAAACAAUAUGAAUACACUUUCCCACUCAAAAAAUAAAUUUAAGUUACUCAUUCUUCCAUGUUAUUAAAUAUCUGUAUGGACAAGGUUCUAUGGAGGGAAGUGUUUUAGUUGGAUAUGAAGAUUAGAUUUCUUCCUGCCCUUAAAGAAUUUAUUUUUUAAUGGAGAUAUAAUUUGGAUAAACCAAUAAAUAUUAUUAUUAUUAUUAUUAUUAUUACAAAUAAGUAUUAUUUCAUAAGGGCAGCUAGAUAGAUAGAUGAAGUGGAUGGAGACACUUGCUAGCUGUGUGAUCCCAGGCAAAUGACUUAAUCCUGCUUACCUCAGUUUCCUCAUCUGAAAAAUGAGCUGGAGACAGAAAUGCCAAACCACCGCAAUGUCUUUGCCCAGAGAACACAAAGAGUCAGACAGGACCAAACAACAGCAACAACAACAUUAUUGGAUAAACAAAUAAGUAUCAUUUGAAUUGGAAAAGGCUGCAUCCCAGUAGAGGACUAGAAUAUUAUGAUUCAUCUGUUUAGCCAACAUAUAUGAUUUUUUUUUCUUUUUUUUUUUAAUUAAAGCUUUUUAUUUUCAAAACAUAUGCAUGGAUAGUUUUCUAUAUCAACACUUGCAAAACCUUGUGUUCCAAAUUUUUUUCCUCCCUUAGAUGGGCAGUAAUCCAAUAUAUGUUAAACAUGUUUAUAUAUAUAUAUAUAUAUAUAUAUAUAUAUAUAUAUAUGCAAUUAUCAUGUUAUGUUGCACAAGAAAAAUCAGAUCAAAGAGAAGGAAAACAAAAUGCAAACAAAUAAUAACAAAAAGAGUGGAAAUGCUAUGUUGUGAUCCACACUCAUUUCCCACAGUGCUCUUUCUGGAUGUAGAUGGCUCUCUUGAGCACAAGAUCAUUGGAAGUAGCCUAACUCAUGUCAUUUCAAUAUAUAUUAUUAAAAGAGAGAAAGAUGUUCCCUGUGCCUUUGGUUCUCUGAAUCAUGGAAAGUGGAUAAAGCAUGGAGCAUGGGAGAUGAAAUACUAAUAGCAAUAAUUUUUCAAAAAUACUAUUUUUCUCUCUCGUUCAUCAUGCAAAACUGGUCCCAAAGAAGAUGACAGAAACUCAAAUCCUGUCCAUAUGGCUAAGCAAGUUGUCCUCAUUUGUAACAGUCAAGGACUCCCCUUUGAAGUGGUUUUAAAACCAGUUUGGUAACUUGAUUUGAAAAGCUAUAUCAAUGACCCCGAGUAACUCAUUUGGCUCAUUAGCUAGUCAUCUGGACAGGGCAAAUUGGUUUAAAUGGAAUGAAAUGGGUUUCUCCCUCUUCAGGAUACCUCACAAUUCAUGGCUUCUGUCCAGGCUCCUAAUUGCUGCUAAUACCCUUCCUGAGCAGAAGACCAUAGCAAAUCCAUCCUGAGAGGCUCAGAGGAGUUUUAAUGUGUGGAUUCUACUUCCCCAAGGGGUUAGGGAGAUAGGCUGAUAAAACAUAGGAAAUUAACCUGAAAUGAGCUGGGCUGGGAGAGAGAUAGACCAUCAAAGAAGCAGCUCUGACAGACAGCAUGGAGCUGUAGUGAGAGAUACUUAUCUUUGAGGAGACAAGAUAACAUUAAUCAUAAAAGGGAGCAUAUGAGCUCUAAGGGGCCCUGAACAUCAUUUAUCUGCCUUACCAACUUCCCCUGCCUCCAUUGUAUAGAUGAACUGACAGAAGUACUUACUCAAGGAAAGAUACAGAGGUGGGCAGAGCCAGGGCUGAGCAGGAGUUCAGUUCUGAUGUUCAGUCCAAGACGCCUCAUUUAAUUGCUGUUUUCACAAAUUAGAGUCACAUUAUUGAUUGAUGUGAUGGAGACAAGUUCUUUGAGAAUUUGUAGAAAUAGGGUGCCCCAAUAUAACUGCUGGAAUGGUGUGAAUGUUAGACAGGUUGUCCACAUCUAUUGCUACUGUUUUGAAGCCUUUUAUAUCAUGCAUAUAAGUUAUCAGAAUGUAUUGCAAAUUGAAUGUGUUCAUUUUAACAUAUCUUUUGGGCAGGAGUUUUAUGCAAGAUUAACUACCUAAUAUUGCAAUAUUAUAAUUGCAAUUAUUAAUAAAUCAUAAUAUAAUUUCAAUAUUUUAAUAAUAAGUGCAAUAAUAUAAUUUCACUUUUCCAUUGUAAGUCUCUUUUUGUCCGCUGAAGCUAGAUCUGGGUUGUGCUCACCUCAUGCUACCCAUUGACCAGAUUUGAUUUGAUUGAAUAUCCUUUGAGUGGAGGCAUUCAAAGCUGAAGGUGACAACCUGAGUAUGUCAGUUAUUGCUAGUCUGGAGUCCUUCAAAGUUCAGCUCACUUGCCUUUCUACUUUAUAGGUACGAAGUAUUUGAGCACCUACUAUGUUCCAGGCAGGAUGAUAAGCAUUAAAGAUACACAAAGAGGCAAAAGGCAGUUCUUUUCCCUGAAGAAGUUCUCAAUCCAGUAGGAGAAACAACAAGCAAACAAAUAUGUAAAAGGGUAAAUAGAAAAUACUUAAGGGAAGGCACUAGAAUUAAGAAGAGUUGGGGACAGGAUGAUUUCAGAAAGGCCUGGAGAGACUUAUAUGAAGUGAUGCAGAGUGAAAUGAGCAGAAUCAGGAGAUCAUUAUACAUGGCAACAACAAGAAUAUAUAAUGAUCAAUUCUGAUGAUGUGGCCCGUUUCAAAAAUGAGAUGAACCAAAUCAGUUCCAGUUGUUCAGUAAUGAAGAGAACCAGCUAUACCCAGUGAACGUGGACCACAACAUAGCAUUUCCACUCCUGUUUUUGUCUGCUUGCAUUUUUGCUUUCCUUCUCAGAUUAUUUUUACCUUAUUCCUAAGUCUGAUUUUUCUUGUGCAGCAAGAUAACUGUAUAAAUAUAUAUAUACAUAUAUUGCAUUUAACAUAUACUUUAGCAUAUUUAACAUGUAUGUUACCUGCCAUCUAGGGGAAGGGUGGAGGGAAGGAAGGGAAAAGUUGGAACAUAAGGUUUUGCAAGGAUCAAUGCUGAAAAAUUACCCAUGCAUAUAUCUUGUAAAUAAAAAGCUAUAGUUUAAAAGAAGAAGAUGAAGAAGAAGGGCUGGGUAAGGCAUCCUUUGGAAGAUGGAAAUAUUAAUUGGAAUUUUAAGGAAGCCAGGGAACCCAGAAAAUCGAAACGAAGAGGGAAAGCCUUAUAGAUUUGAUGGCAGCCAGAGAAUAUGCUCCACAGCCAAGAAGUAGACAUUUCUUGUUUAUGGAACAGCCUGAAAACCUAUGUCACUGAAUUGAAGAAUAUGUGGAGGGGAAUAAAGUGUAGGAAGACUGGAAAGGUAGAUUAUGAAGGGCUUUGAAUGCCAGGUAGAGGAUUUUGUUUUUGAUCCUGAGGGUGAUAGGGAGCUACAGAAGUUUAUUGAUGGUGUGUAAAAGACAUGAUCAGACCUUUAGGUAAAUCAGUUUAGUGACUGAAGGAAGAUUGGAUUUAAGUGGAAAGGGACUUGAAGCCAGCAGACCACCGGUACUUAUGUUCAUGAUUCCUACCUUUCCCGAUUUGGAGAGUUAUAAGUGAAAUCUUAGAAUUUUUUAAAUAUGCUUUUCUUUCAUUCUUUGUGUUAUGGAGCAUGUUUUUAUGUGGUCAUGUACAGUUUGCAGUUCUUCAUUAGAAAACUUAAUUUUCUCUUUCCCAUUUUUGUCCUCUUGUGUUACCUGGGCACAGCUCUUAAUGUUACAUAUUUUUAAUCUGUUCUUCACAUAUUUUGGAUAUUAUACUUUUAUGAAUGUUAUUUGAUGUAAAAUGAUUUUGUUAUAUAUCUUUUUAUUCCAACUGUUCAUUUUAUUUGUGAAAAAUCUUAUGCAUUUUACAUAGUAAAAAUUAACCAUUUUAUCUUUUAUUAUUGUAUUUUCUAUUCUUUGUUUAGUUAAAAUUUUUCUCUUUAGCCAUAAUGGAAAGAUGCUUAUAUUCUCUUUAAAUUUUUUCUUUUCAUGAUAUUACAUCAGAAUGCUCUCACACAUAUACAUAUAUAUAAAUACAUGUGUAUAUAUAUAUAUGUAUAUACAUAUAUGUGUAUCCAUACACAUAUCCAUUCAGAGGUUAUUGUUGUAUAUAAGAUGUUAAUCUUAAUGUAAUUUCUGUCAAAGUACUUUUGAGUUUCUCCAGCAAAUUUUGUUGAAAUGAAAAUCCGUCUCUCACAAAAUUGUUAUUGAUUUUAUAAAAUAUUUGGCUACUGUUUCCAUUUAUAUUUUUUGAUAAUUUAGUUUUGUUUUCCCCAAAUCUACUUUUUUUUUUUUGCUGACAAGUGUGAAGUAGUUUUAAUAACUAAUAUUUUGUAAUACAACUUGAAGUCUAGUAAUGACAUAUACCUUUGAUGCAUACUCUUUUCACUAUUUUUUCUUAAAAUUCUAGUUCUUCCAAAUGAAUUUUGAUAUCAUUAUUUCAAGGGGAAAAAAAAUUGUAAUUUGAUCGGUAUAGCCCUGAAACUAUAAAGAACCUAGAUUUGUCUCUUUUACUAUAUUGUCACAGUCCUGCUGUAAGCUAAGGAUUACUUUUCUCUUCUCAGAGCUAUUAAGUGUCUGAAGAUGAAUGUGAACUCAGGUCCUCCUGCCUCCAGGGUCUGUGUUCUAUGCAUUCCAUCACCUAGUUCUCCUGUCUGGUUUUAAAUAUGAGAAUAUGCUUGGUAUCAUCCUGGAUACCCUUUCAGGGAGACAACUCGAUAGGCUAAAAAUUUAGAGCACUAGACUUGAAAACUGGGUUCAAAUAUUAGCUGUGCUCCUUACCGCUUGUGUGACCUUAGGAAAACGAUUUCCUUUCUCUGGGUCUUGGUUUCCUCCAAUGAAGUUGCUGGACUAGAUGACUUGACUGUUCUCGCUUAGACCAGAAUAUCUCCAAUAUCUCCUGAUGCCGUAAUAACUCCUGCUACUCUUAGGCACGAUACUUGGGCCUGUCACAGUGCUGGCCAUGGUGCUGACAUCUAUGAAAAACAUGACUUAGGAGAUGUGUGAUACAUACCCUUAAAACUUUUUUCACUCGCAGCCCCUUUUUGUCUGAGAAAAUUUUACAGUAAAACAGAUAUACAUUUACUAAUAAUAAAUCAUAAUUUCACCACCUCGAUAUUCACUUACAAGAUACUUUAUGGGGUUGUGAACUACAGUUUAAGAAGCUGAGCUCCUAAAGGACUGUUGGUGUAGAUUGGGGGAGAGAAUAUAUACACUUAUGUGCAGAUCACUGUGUCAGAUUCGUAAUCAUGACUAAAUGAUAAAAGGUGCAUUUGAGAAGGAGGGCUUGAUGUACUUUAGAGAUGAAGGUCACUGGAUUCUUCAGUUGACACAGAAGGCUUUUUGAAGGGGGUAAGAAUUAAGCAAGAGUGGGAAGGAUAGAUAGGUUUCAGAGUGCUUUCUGAACUCUGGUCUUUGCUCUGCUUUCACAAUCCUCAGCCCAAUGGCCCAGCAGUCCUACUUAUUCUUCACUCUAGAAAACUCUGCUAUCACUUUUUGUUUUUCAGUUUGGGCCUGAUUUAAUAUUUCAUAAAUGCUUCCAGUUGCAGUCCCAGAACUAUGUAAUUUGACUAUAGAAAUAGCAUAAGCCUCUUUCACCUUGAUAACCUCCCAAAACCCUCCUCUUAUUAUUCUUAUUCCUGAGCCCUGUUUUCUUAAUUGAAUUUGGCUGUUGUCCCAGAACUGAUUGUGAACAUAUUAAAACUCGAAAAGUUAUUGUAAUUGUUCAGAUGGUUAAAUAAAUAGGCAUCUUUUUUUUUUUGAAUUAAAUAACACCUAUCAGCAAAAGUCAUUGGUUUCCCUGACCCCCACCCUAGAUCCCUUUCCCACCAUUUAUAAGUUUGAAGAUUAAUAUAGUCUCUUUCCUCUUUUAGUCAUUCCAUGUUGUAAUAAUGUGUCAUUCCCCCAGUAGGAUAAGGAGACUGUUCAACCUCUAAAGUUACCCAACUCUUACAGUAAAAGUAUAGUCAUCUUGAAUUGGAUCCAGUUCACAGCUUGUCAUUUCCCAACCAAAGUUAUUGGGAAGAGGAAUGUGACAUAGGCUGAGCUAGUCAUUCUUGGGAUGUUUUGAUCAAGCCAACUUUAUGUACUGAAAAACAGACUUGGUGGCAGGUCCUUUUAAGGACUCUCUAAGUUGAAUGAUAUUUUUAUAUAAGAAAUACUGUUAUAAUUGAGUUUGUGUCCCUUAACUUAGCUUAAUAUAUUUUGAUGAACUUUAUAUCACAGUCAUUUUUAAAUAUAUCCCUUCUUUCCUAUCCAGUGACCCAUUGUACCUCAUACCUAAGAUAUAAAAAGAAACAAAGAGGUUCCAAAAUAAACUAAUAUAUCAACUAUGCCUGAUCAUGCAUGCAAUAUUCCAUAGCCAUGCUUCUCCUACUUCUACAAAAAGAAAAGGAAAAUAGUUUCCUCUAUUCUUUUCCAAGACAAAAUGUGGUCAUUAUAAUUAUAAAAUGUUCAGAAUCAGUGUUUUCUGUUCUUUCUGUAUAUGUUUUUAUUUUCAUUAUGUUUAUUAUUUUCCUGGUUCUAUUUAUAUCAGUUGACAUAAAUCUUAUGUUUUUCUUAAUUAUUUGUAUUGGUUAUUUCUUACAGAGUAAAAAUAUGCUUUUACAUUCAUAUAUCACAAAUAUGUUUAGCCCCUCCCCAGUGAAUUAACAACCAACUUUUUAUAGAUAUGUACAACCUAGUUCUGGCCUAUCUUUAAGUCAUGCUCCAGGCUCUACCUCCUCCCUGAACUGUUAACCUGGACCUCUGAGCUCCUGAUGGGGUGAAAAUUCCUUAUUUAUCCUCACCCAGUUCUAACAUGCUACUUUCCCCUUUUCCUUUUCCUUUCAAUGUUUCCUGACAUCAGGGUCUUUUCCAGUGAAUCCCCUCUUCUCAUUAUGGGAUCAGAGUAUUUAAACUUCAGUAUUUAACUUUCCAGUGAAUAACCUGAAUUAAUGUCUUUAAGUAUUUUAAGUACUGAUUUGAUCUCUUAACUGUCCGAGAGAUUCUCAAAAAUCUUCUCCAGCACCAUAAUUUGAAAGCAUCAAUUGUGUGGCUCUCAGCUUUCCUUAUAAUAUAACUCUCACAGCCAUACAUUGCUACUUGAAAAAACCAUAGCUUUGACUAUUCAGACAUUUAUUGGCAAGAUGAUAUCUCUGCUUUUUAUUGUCCAUAUUCUUUUAAUUUCAUGACUGUAGUUAGCAUGAAAUUAGUGAUUGUUUAUUUUUUUUCCCUUUCUAUAAAGCAUAUAAAUUAAAUUUAUAGGCAGUGCUAUUUGUAAUCCAGAAGUUCCCUGGGAGUUAAGUUAUAUUUAAAGAUGACCUAUCUAGUUCCGUGGACCUAAUAAAGUUCAGAAACUAGAACUAGGACCCAGGUCUUGAUCUGUAAGCUCAGUGAUUUAUCAUCUCACUUUGAUAAGUUGGUCCUCACCAGAUAGAAGAGAUGGAAAGAACAGAGUGUCAUUAAAAUUCCAUGAAAAUUUAACAUAUUAAGUUAUGCUUUGAGCUGCCUUAGGAGAAGUGCUAAUGUAAACAUCCAGUUCCAUGAUCUAGAGUUCUAUAAAAUUAUUCCCAGGGCUAUGAAGUUCAACAGUUGGUUAUUUGCUUUUCAUUUUUUCCUCCUUCUUCCUGGUUCAUUCUUGUUAAACUUAGUUUACAAAUCAACACAUCACUCAAAUGCCUAUCACUUUUUAACCACUUGAAAUGUACCUGCAUUUCCCAAUCACAUACUUUGUUCCAGAUCUCAUUACCCUAGAAGUAAAAGGGGGCAGGAACUAGUAUGAUACAGCCAAGUAAAAAUGGAAAUGUGAUUUAUCAUGGAAGCAAAUGCUGGGCUUAUAGAAAAGAACCUCUGGCUUUGUCAUUAAUUUGUUGUCAAGAUUGGCAUGGGCCCAUCCCCAGGCAGCAGGGGUUUGGGGUUAGGGAGAAAGGCAGUCAAGUAGAUCACAGUCUUAAUACUGAGUGUUAAAUGUCAAAUAAAAGUUCAUAUUUUAUUCCUGAGGCAAUAGGGAGCCAGUGGAACUUUUUGACCUGAUGAAAUGCUCAUACUGGUUCAAUUGCUACCUGCUUUAUAAUAUGUAAUAAGAAGUAAGUUGUUUCACUUGUAUUUGGACCUUAUAUUUUGGAUAUAUUGUAACUCUAUGACACUUUAAAAUCACUGUAGAAGAAUCAAGUUAGCAUUUAUUUAGUGGCUACUGUAUACCUAGUUACUGUGCUAACUGCUGAGACUUCAAGAAAAGAUAAAAACAGUUCCUGCUGUCAAGGAGAUGGCAGUAUAAUAAGCUAAUUAUUACCAUAGUCUAUUCUGAUUCGUGGGCAUUCAAUAAACUCAGUAGACAGAGCUUUUGUGUGCUGAAUGAUGAGGCAAAAUGAGUAAGACUUGUCCCUACUUUCUCCAAAAAAGCUCACAACCUGGGAAGGAUGUUGGGGAGGAGAGUUAAGAAUAAGACAAAAGUAAAAUUAACUAAUAUAGAGGAAUAUAAAUGUACCUUUAUAGAUAGAUAAAUGUAGAGGAAUGAAAAAACUGUAAUAUAAAGGAAAGUGUGGGAGAAGCAUUAAAAAUUACCCAAGAAUUUGAGGGGUGAGGUGAGGAUCAGGAAAAUUGUUUUUUAAGUAGUGAUAUCUAGAGAUGUGAAUCAUAGACUCUGAGUGUCAGAAGGAAGCAAAUCUCUUUGUGACUUUUAGAGUAAUGUUUAAAUAAAAGUUUUGUUUGUUUCCGUGUAUUUAAUUCAAGACUUUACCACAGGAUCAUAGAUAUAGAAUUGAAACAGAUCUUAGAAGUCAUUGAAUUAAAGCUUUUGAUAAAUGCUUAUUGACCAACUUGGUCACAUAACUAGUAAAUAUCUGAGCCUAAAUUUAACCCCAAAUCUUUUUGACUUCCAAUCCAGUGCCAUAUCUACUUGGUUAUGCUCUCAAAACCCUAGAAUCAUCUAGAAGCCCAAAUCUAAAACAAAUCUGAUAAUUUUCACCUCCUUGGCAUUUUUUGCAUCCAUCCACUUAUCUCUAUUCAUUUGAGAGUUGCUCUAGUUCUUGGCCCUCCUCAUCUUUCCCUUGCAUUAUUGUGAGAGUCUCUUCCUCCUGUAUUUAUCUAAUCUCUACCUCCUUUAAUCUGUCUACCUUAGAGAUGCCAAAUUGAUAUUCUUAAUAUUACUAUUCUAUAAAAAGUGGUGAACAAGCUGAUUAUAGAAAGGCCUGUAAAGGUUUACAACAACUGAUGCUGAGCAAAACAAGCAGAACCAGGAAUAUAUUGUACACAAUAACAGCAAGAAUGUGUGAUGAUCAACUAUGAAAGUCUUGGUUCUUCUCAGCAGUUCAGUGUCCCAAAGUGAUCCCAAUAGACUUUGGACAGAAAAUGCCAUCUGCAUCCAGAUAAAGAACUAAGGAGACCGAAUGUAAAUCAACACAUG